UACGGAAGGCAGCAGUGGGGAAUAUUGCACAAUGGGCGCAAGCCUGAUGCAGCCAUGCCGCGUGUAUGAAGAAGGCCUUCGGGUUGUAAAGUACUUUCAGCGGGGAGGAAGGCGAUGCGGUUAAUAACCGCGUCGAUUGACGUUACCCGCAGAAGAAGCACCGGCUAACUCCGUGCCAGCAGCCGCGGUAAUACGGAGGGUGCAAGCGUUAAUCGGAAUUACUGGGCGUAAAGCGCACGCAGGCGGUCUGUUAAGUCAGAUGUGAAAUCCCCGGGCUUAACCUGGGAACUGCAUUUUGAACUGGCAGGCUUGAGUCUUGUAGAGGGGGUAGAAUUCCAGGUGUAGCGGUGAAAUGCGUAGAGAUCUGGAGGAAUACCGGGUGGCGAAGGCGGGCCCCUGGGACAAAGACUGACGCUCAGGGUGCGAAAGCGUGGGGAGCAAACGAGGAUUAGGAUA
RNAcentral lists this ribosomal RNA (456 nucleotides) under uncultured bacterium. RNAcentral describes it as "bacterial SSU rRNA". It matches the Rfam family "Bacterial small subunit ribosomal RNA", at positions 340 to 784 of the family's 1533-position model. The record is from RNAcentral.